This 388-nucleotide ribosomal RNA is filed under the name uncultured bacterium. Its description in RNAcentral is "bacterial SSU rRNA". It matches the Rfam family "Bacterial small subunit ribosomal RNA", at positions 30 to 417 of the family's 1533-position model. The record is from RNAcentral.
AUUGAACGCUGGCGGCAUGCCUUACACAUGCAAGUCGAACGGCAGCACGGGAGCAAUCCUGGUGGCGAGUGGCGAACGGGUGAGUAAUAUAUCGGAACGUGCCCAGUCUGGGGGAUAACGUAGCGAAAGCUACGCUAAUACCGCAUACGAUCUAUGGAUGAAAGCGGGGGAUCGCAAGACCUCGCGCGAUUGGAGCGGCCGAUAUCAGAUUAGGUAGUUGGUGAGGUAAAGGCUCACCAAGCCGACGAUCUGUAGCUGGUCUGAGAGGACGACCAGCCACACUGGGACUGAGACACGGCCCAGACUCCUACGGGAGGCAGCAGUGGGGAAUUUUUGGGACAAUGGGCGCAAGCCUGAUCCAGCAAUGCCGCGUGCAGGAUGAAGGCCU